GGGCCCGCACAAGCGGUGGAGCAUGUGGUUUAAUUCGAAGAUACGCGCAGAACCUUACCUACUCUUGACAUACUUGGAAGCUCUUGUAAUGAGAGUGUGCCUUUUGGAACCAAGAUACAGGUGCUGCAUGGCUGUCGUCAGCUCGUGUCGUGAGAUGUUCCGUUAAGUCGGAUAACGAGCGCAACCCUUACCCCUUAUUUGCCAGCGAUUCGGUCGGGAACUAUAAGGGGACUGCCGGUGAUAAACCGGAGGAAGGUGAGGACGACGUCAAGUCAUCAUGGCCCUUACGAGUAGGGCUACACACGUGCUACAAUGGGGAAUACAGACGGACGCUAAGCCGGCGAGGUGGUGCUAA
Molecule: ribosomal RNA, 355 nt
Filed under: uncultured bacterium
Lineage: Bacteria
Description: bacterial SSU rRNA
Rfam family: Bacterial small subunit ribosomal RNA
Source: RNAcentral